UACGAAGGGGGCUAGCGUUGCUCGGAAUCACUGGGCGUAAAGCGCACGUAGGCCGAUUGUUAAGUCAGGGGUGAAAUCCUGGAGCUCAACUCCAGAACUGCCCUUGAUACUGACGGUCUCGAGUCCGGGAGAGGUGAGUGGAAUGCCGAGUGUAGAGGUGAAAUUCGUAGAUAUUCGGCGGAACACCAGUGGCGAAGGCGGCUCUCUGGGACGGUACUGACGCUGAGACGCGAAAGCGUGGGGAGCGAACAGG
This 253-nucleotide ribosomal RNA is filed under the name uncultured bacterium. RNAcentral's name for it is "partial 16S ribosomal RNA". It matches the Rfam family "Bacterial small subunit ribosomal RNA", at positions 524 to 776 of the family's 1533-position model. The record is from RNAcentral.